This 446-nucleotide long non-coding RNA is filed under the name Helianthus annuus (common sunflower). RNAcentral describes it as "sRNA HanXRQr2_Chr07g0301251". The record is from RNAcentral. Lineage: Eukaryota; Viridiplantae; Streptophyta; Magnoliopsida; Asterales; Asteraceae.
UUCAUAUGGAUUCUUACGUGAGUUUUGAGUGUGUGUUCGUUUUGAGUGUGUGUUCUUGGGCCUGAACCAACAGUUGUGCACCGAUUGCUGGUGGUGAUUGGAGAGGGUAGACCGAAUAUGAAAUCUAAGUGGGAUAAGGUCGACAAGGACAGAAGACAUCCCAGUGGACAGGUCCUUGUAUCAAGUGUUGGGUCAACAUUCUUAUCUGCUGGCACCGAGUAAACAGUCUUCGCGGUUGGGAAUCAGACCAACAACAAGAACAAAAAAUGGCUCUAAGGUUGCACGCCGGGUGUUCGAGAUAUUGCCUGAAUGAGUAGACUUCAAUUGAUUCUAUGUUCAUUUGGCCGCUGACCCAGGUUGAAGGAUGCCAUAUGUUUCAGACUAUACGAAGAUUCCCACCUGGUUAUCAUUAGGUUAAAUUUUAAAUUUAUAUCAUCUCAUUUGUU